Molecule: unclassified non-coding RNA, 281 nt
Filed under: plant metagenome
Description: partial contains small subunit ribosomal RNA, internal transcribed spacer 1, and 5.8S ribosomal RNA
Rfam family: 5.8S ribosomal RNA (bases 234-281)
Source: RNAcentral
UUUCCGUAGGUGAACCUGCGGAAGGAUCAUUAUUGUAUAACCGAGGUGCGAGGGCUGUCGCUGACCCGAAAGGUCGUGCACGCCCGAGUGCCCUCACACACAUCCAUCUCACCCCUAUGUGCACCACCGCGUGGGUCCCCCUUUGGCUUGUUCGGAGGGGGGCUUACGUUUUCACACAAACUUUGUAUGCAGUGUAGAAUGUAUUUUUGUUUUUGCGAUCACGCAAUCAAUACAACUUUCAACAACGGAUCUCUUGGCUCUCGCAUCGAUGAGAACGCAGC